GUCACAAUAACAGUUGUAGAAGGAGUAAGGGUAAAUGUAAGCGUUUUAAGUGCCAAGAAAAAUACUAUGAAUACAUGGGAAAAUGUCAUUGGCCAGCAAAAUACUGUUGUGUGCUAAAAACAAAUUUGCCAGAGGGAAGAAAGUGAAAUGAAUUGAGACUUCAGAAUAGAAAAAUUUAUCUUGCUGCACAAGAAAAAUUGGAUCUAGAAAAACAAGAAAAAACCUGAGACGGAAAACAAAAAUGCAAACAAACAAUAACAGGAAGAGUGGAAAUGCUAUGUUGUGGUCCACACUCAGUUCCCAUGGUCCUCUCUCUCUGGAUGUAGAUGACUCUCUUCAUCAUUGAACAAUUGGAACUGGUUUGAAUCAUCUUGUUAUUGAAAAGAGCCAUGUCUAUCAGAAUUGAUCAUCAUAUAUAGUCUUAUUGUUGCCAUG
This is a long non-coding RNA of Antechinus flavipes (yellow-footed antechinus), 435 nucleotides long. RefSeq lists it as uncharacterized. The transcript is spliced from 2 exons. The record is from RefSeq and is a predicted model, not a curated record. NCBI's taxonomy places the organism in Eukaryota, Metazoa, Chordata, Mammalia, Dasyuromorphia, Dasyuridae.